Long non-coding RNA from Danio aesculapii, 252 nucleotides. RefSeq lists it as uncharacterized. The transcript has 3 exons. The record is from RefSeq and is a predicted model, not a curated record. Lineage: Eukaryota; Metazoa; Chordata; Actinopteri; Cypriniformes; Danionidae.
UGAGGAUUUUUAAAGUUCUGACAUAUGUUUUUAUGCCAGAUGAUGCCAGGAACAAAUUCUCGAGAAGAAACAAGCACCAGACCAUCUAAGGAUCUUCAUACUAGAAAAAUCAUAACACUAGAUGAUGGAUUUACCAUUGAUGCACUGAAGGUCCGAGUGGACUACACAAGCGGAUAGUGAGAAUCUCUUGAGCAGAGACAUAGAGUGGUUUCAUUGGUGGCAAAAAUGGACUUCUGGUAGAAAGGAACUAGC